This 246-nucleotide long non-coding RNA is filed under the name Panax ginseng (ginseng). RNAcentral's name for it is "long non-coding RNA (PGIN_LNC001460)". Lineage: Eukaryota; Viridiplantae; Streptophyta; Magnoliopsida; Apiales; Araliaceae. The record is from RNAcentral.
AGGCUAAACGAUUACUACUUCCGUUCACCACAAGUCCUACACACAUACCAUAUGUAUUCACGACAUUCAUUAGUUACAUUUUCACUUAAUUAUUUAAUGUACACUCAAUUUAUUUAACAAAUCAUUACUCUUCUAAUUUAAUUACUUAAUUAAAUUAGAAUAUUUUCAUUCCCUUACUAUUAUUACACUCGAAUAAAUUAUUUCAUAAUAAUUUUCAUCGAAUAUUUAUUUUACUCCAUCAAUAUC